This 827-nucleotide unclassified non-coding RNA is filed under the name Zea mays. RNAcentral's name for it is "misc RNA Zm00001eb027270". Lineage: Eukaryota; Viridiplantae; Streptophyta; Magnoliopsida; Poales; Poaceae. The record is from RNAcentral.
GUAGGCGCGGCGCUGGGCAUUGGAGACCAGAGAAGAAGGGCACGCCAUUGGAGGGAGCAGUGGAGGAAGGAGCCGAGCAGGGAGAUCGUGGCUAGAGAGAUGGACGCCAUGGAUGAGCAGGACGCGUUGAGCGCAGGGAAACAGGGGUGCAGCUCGAGAGUCCAGGGAUAAGAAGCCGAGCGCUGGGCGAGCUCGGGGAGCAGCGUGCACGGCAGCCAUGGCGAGCAGAGACGAGCGGCUGCCAGGCACGCGGAGCGAGCAGGGCACACGGCGAGCAGAGCCUAGCCAGGGACACGACAGUAGGGAAGCAGGCGACCAGGGGAAGGGCUCUGUGGAGCCUAGGCGUGACUCGCUGGGCGAAAACAGCACGAGGCAACGGGUGCUCGAGGCGGUGCUCCAGCUUAACGGCGGCCACCAGCGGAGCGGUAUACAACAACCAGGAGAUAAGGCCGAGCUGAGGCCGGCUGAGAGGAGCAAAGGGCACGGUGAGCAGAGGAGAGAAGCUGGGAGUUGGGAGGGCGCCGAGCUGGGUCCAAGCCAUGGGCGCGGCACGCGUAGGGAGGAAGACAGAGGUUGGGGAAGGAGCUCCAUGGCUUGGAGACGCAGGGGACGCGCGACAGCUGAAAUGGAUUGAUGGGCACACGCGUAGGAGAUAAGGACGCUGAAAAAAAUCUGAGCAGGGGCGGUGACAGCAGAGAAGAACGAAAGAUUUUUUUUUUGGGAAUUUUCUUUUGUUCAUUUUUCUUUAUAGAAAAUCGUAGAUAUUUUUGGAUCGAUAUUUUUAGCGAUAACAAAAGGGUCGAUGGUACUUGCGACACAGUUUGAUU